RNAcentral lists this ribosomal RNA (382 nucleotides) under uncultured Rhodococcus sp. RNAcentral's name for it is "bacterial SSU rRNA". It matches the Rfam family "Bacterial small subunit ribosomal RNA", at positions 998 to 1382 of the family's 1533-position model. Lineage: Bacteria; Bacillati; Actinomycetota; Actinomycetes; Mycobacteriales; Nocardiaceae. The record is from RNAcentral.
CUGCAGAGAUGUGGCCCCCCUUCGUGGUCGGUAUACAGGUGGUGCAUGGCUGUCGUCAGCUCGUGUCGUGAGAUGUGGUUAAGCCCCGCAACGAGCGCAACCCUACUCUUAUGUUGCCAGCACGUUAUGGUGGGGACUCGUAAGAGACUGCCGGGGUCAACUCGGAGGAAGGUGGGGACGACGUCAAGUCAUCAUGCCCCUUAUGUCCAGGGCUUCACACAUGCUACAAUGGCCAGUACAGAGGGCUGCGAGACCGUGAGGUGGAGCGAAUCCCUUAAAGCUGGUCUCAGUUCGGAUCGGGGUCUGCAACUCGACCCCGUGAAGUCGGAGUCGCUAGUAAUCGCAGAUCAGCAACGCUGCGGUGAAUACGUUCCCGGGCCUU